CUAGUAAGAGGAGAUCGCAUCCUGUGUAUUCUCAAUCCUAGAUGACUUAGAAAAAAUCUUUUGGCCAAAAAUAGGAAGGAGAUUAGAAAGAGUUUUUAAUGCUUCUUCAUUAGAGUCAUCAUUAGUUAAUUGAGAAUCGAUAUGAAUAUAUGUUUGAGUUUGACAUGAUUCCAUACUUACGAACAUAUUCAGAGUGCAGG
Molecule: long non-coding RNA, 200 nt
Filed under: Elaeis guineensis (African oil palm)
Lineage: Eukaryota; Viridiplantae; Streptophyta; Magnoliopsida; Arecales; Arecaceae
Description: long non-coding RNA (EGUI_LNC015455)
Source: RNAcentral